GUCCUACCGUGUCUUCCUCUUCAAUCAUUGGCACAAGAGCUAUUUUAGCCUUGGUCGAUUUAGCUAGUUUCCUGUGUUGCAUACCUACGUUGAUGGAAUUCGUUAGGCAAUUAUUCCCACGUYCGCUYAAUGCUUCCCGCUUUCACGGUGCGGYAUCGGGUGAACAUCAAAGUGAAAUUCGUGUUCCGCUUCGCACUCGCAUUGCGUCGUCGUUGCGGCCCACGYUUUUUGCUUGGCCUUCGGGAUGCAGAAAACGCUGMGGGUAUGGGGUCCUUGACCUCUAUUGCCCACAAUUUCGCAUUACAUGCCCCAUUCGAAUGACAUUCGGUGUCGCAUAGAUGCUUGCCAUCUUGCGUCUCCGAUGUCUCCGAGGARUGCUACCUGGUUGAUCCUGCCAGUAGUCAUAUGCUUGUCUCAAAGA
RNAcentral lists this unclassified non-coding RNA (421 nucleotides) under Rudgea stipulacea. RNAcentral's name for it is "partial external transcribed spacer". The record is from RNAcentral. Lineage: Eukaryota; Viridiplantae; Streptophyta; Magnoliopsida; Gentianales; Rubiaceae.